UACAGAGGGGGCAAGCGUUAUUCGGAAUUAUUGGGCGUAAAGGGCGCGUAGGCGGCCUGGCAAGUGGAAGGUGAAAUCCCUCGGCUUAACCGAGGAACUGCCCUCCAAACUGCUUGGCUUGAGUCCGGGAGAGGUGAGUGGAAUUCCCAGUGUAGCGGUGAAAUGCGUAGAUAUUGGGAGGAACACCAGUGGCGAAGGCGGCUCACUGGACCGGAACUGACGCUGAGGCGCGAAAGCGUGGGGAGCAAAUGGG
This 253-nucleotide ribosomal RNA is filed under the name uncultured bacterium. RNAcentral describes it as "partial 16S ribosomal RNA". It matches the Rfam family "Bacterial small subunit ribosomal RNA", at positions 524 to 776 of the family's 1533-position model. The record is from RNAcentral.